RNAcentral lists this ribosomal RNA (434 nucleotides) under uncultured bacterium. RNAcentral's name for it is "partial 16S ribosomal RNA". It matches the Rfam family "Bacterial small subunit ribosomal RNA", at positions 29 to 507 of the family's 1533-position model. The record is from RNAcentral.
AGCGAACGCUGGCGGCAGGCCUAACACAUGCAAGUCGAACGAACCUUUCGGGGUUAGUGGCGGACGGGUGAGUAACACGUGGGAACGUGCCUUUAGGUUCGGCAUAACUCAGGGAAACUUGUGCUAAUACCGAAUGUGCCCUUCGGGGGAAAGAUUAAUCGCCUUUAGAGCGGCCCGCGUCUGAUUAGCUAGUUGGUUGAGGUAAUGGCUCACCAAGGCGACGAUCAGUAGCUGGUCUGAGAGGAUGAUCAGCCACAUUGGGACUGAGACACGGCCCAAACUCCUACGGGAGGCAGCAGUGGGGAAUCUUGCGCACUGGGCGAAAGCCUGACGCAGCCAUGCCGCGUGAAUGAUGAAGGUCUUAGGAUUGUAAAAUUCUUUCACCGGGGACGAUAAUGACGGUACCCGGAGAAGAAGCCCCGGCUAACUUCGUG